This 74-nucleotide transfer RNA is filed under the name Luminiphilus sp. Its description in RNAcentral is "tRNA-Cys". It matches the Rfam family "tRNA". From Rfam's summary of the family: Transfer RNA (tRNA) molecules are approximately 80 nucleotides in length. The record is from RNAcentral. Lineage: Bacteria; Pseudomonadati; Pseudomonadota; Gammaproteobacteria; Cellvibrionales; Halieaceae.
GGCUCGGUGGCAGAGUGGUAAUGCAGCGGAUUGCAAAUCCGUCUACGCCGGUUCGAUUCCGACCCGAGCCUCCA